This 84-nucleotide Y RNA is filed under the name Prolemur simus (greater bamboo lemur). Its description in RNAcentral is "Y RNA (ENSPSMG00000011899.1)". It matches the Rfam family "Y RNA", at positions 8 to 85 of the family's 96-position model. Rfam says of the family: Y RNAs are components of the Ro ribonucleoprotein particle (Ro RNP), in association with Ro60 and La proteins. The Y RNAs and Ro60 and La proteins are well conserved, but the function of the Ro RNP is not known. In humans the RNA component can be one of four small RNAs -- hY1, hY3, hY4 and hY5. Lineage: Eukaryota; Metazoa; Chordata; Mammalia; Primates; Lemuridae. The record is from Rfam by way of RNAcentral.
CCAAGUACAGUGGUGUUUACAACUAAUUAAUCACAACCAGUUACAGAUUACUUUGUUCCUUCUCCAUUACCACUGCUUCACUUG